Anguilla rostrata (American eel) is the source of this 1453-nucleotide long non-coding RNA. RefSeq lists it as uncharacterized. NCBI's taxonomy places the organism in Eukaryota, Metazoa, Chordata, Actinopteri, Anguilliformes, Anguillidae. The transcript is spliced from 3 exons. The record is from RefSeq and is a predicted model, not a curated record.
CUCACAUAGAGAGAACGUUUCUUUCUUUAGUUUUUGUUUGUGUGUUUUCCAGAGCUCGACAAGAAAGUAAACCCACCGCUGAAAAGCUGGUCACCUGAAAAGCGGGCCAGCUAUGUGUGGUGAGCUGAAAAGCUGCUGCAACCAACGGUGCACUCCCGGAAAUGCCGCAUCUCCCUCCCAGGGGUAUCACAUCGGCGUAGUCCACCAGCUGAGGCGCAUCCACGGCACAGAAGGAGUACCCUUCACACACAGCAGGUGCCUGACAAGCCAGUGGAGGCUUCUAAGGGAGGCAUUUACAGCCCCUAUCCACCCUACUUGGUCCAAGCCACAGCCAAUUACGACACACCCCGCAGAGCUAACAGUCAACAGUCGGCACGGGCGUGGUCUGGUUCUGAUAACGGACUGAGGAACACUCACGCACUAAGGACCACAAGCCACCCAGAAGCCCGUCUCAAGUACAGUGCUUUCUAUUAGGGUCUUUGCUUCAGAUCAUUUACCUCUCCAACACAGAGCCAGUCACACUGCUAAUGAAAGCAUGAGCACAAGAAGGCCCCUCCCCCCACCCCUACCCUACCUUGUCGGUCUUGUCCUCAGAGAAAGGGUUCUGUCCUGGAUCUUGGUCUAUUCCUCCUCCUAUGCUGAACCCCAGGAUCAGGUUGUCGCCCUGACGCAGUUUGUUGAUCUCAAUGCGUUGCUGAAACACAAGUUCAGAUCCACAAUCACUCAAUUUCAUCCCUCUAUUCAUCACCUGUCUUGCGUAACUGCGGAAUAAAAUGUGUUUGGUGACGGUUAGUACGAUACGCUCCUAGAUCAGAGAACUAAAAUUAGCUUGAGCACAUGCAGUGAAUAAUGCAAAGGACAGAACAAAACAAAAUAAGAAACAUGGACAAAGGAACAGGACACAUCAACUACAGGAUCUUUUGCUUAGUAAAAAAACACGACAAAAGAGUCAUGGUAAUAAUAACACUCGAGUUUCAGGCAGGACAAAGUAGGAAGUCCUCCUAACAAUGGGGACAAGUAGACAUUUCAACCCAUGAUUAACAGUACCCAUCCAUACGGGGGGAAAAAAACGUUCCACAUGUUCUUGGAUCACAGAUUGCCACUCUGACUCAACAAAUGGCUUUUCAGUCCUACACAGGACAGUCAGGCUUUUGAGCAGUCUGCCCCUCCACAUGCUACGCGGCUGAGGAAACAGCUAUUCCGUCAUGCUGACAGAUGGAGGUUUCUGGCAAGUUUAAUGGUCCCGUGCACAAAGCUGGUCUGUGUGAUGAUGAAUUCCAUGUCAACAUCUGGUACUCAAUAGCAUAUUGUACCAGCGCUGCAGACACGAUGGUUUUGAUCUUUUAAAUAUAAUAUUCCCAUGUGGUUUAUGGCCCCUUCUUGCAGAAAGUUCAGGAUGAUCCAAAAUAUAUUAUGUACUGAGUUCCAGCUUUAACAAAAAAAAAAACUAAAA